Molecule: long non-coding RNA, 722 nt
Filed under: Daphnia pulicaria
Lineage: Eukaryota; Metazoa; Arthropoda; Branchiopoda; Diplostraca; Daphniidae
Description: uncharacterized LOC124350269
Source: RNAcentral
ACAUGUACCAAGGAUUUUUCUUCAUCGUAUUACUGGUUCGCAACAAUGGUUAACUAUGGCGACAUGCUGCUGUUGGACGUUCCAUCGUUAAUGGCUGGUUCGACUACACUGGUGUUUCCUGGGCUCCAGAGUACUACACCACCAAGGCUCCAAAGUACAAGUCGAAAACUUAAUCUGCCCCGAGUCACAUCACGCAAGCGCCUGAGUACUGCACUGAGUCUUCCAAGUUCUACAACACCAAAGUUCAAGCUACUACACCGAGUCUCCAGAUAUUCACCAUCAGAGCGAUCUUCACCGAAGUGUCCAAGUACUAGACUACAACCUACUGCAGCUCACUGUGUGUCACAACUGUCUUCUUUACCGUAUUAAAUCGGUUUCCAAUCAUGGGCUGGGUCGACCACGGGUGCACUGAUGUCUCCUGGAUAUGGCCGAUACCAAAUCACCACAAGCUGCCAUACUUCACAACAACGAGGUCCAAGUACUAAACCACUGUGGGAUGGAAUAUUACAAGACUGCUGCUACUUUCUACUACACCAAGGCCCCUAAUCCCCUACUGGUUGUCUACUGAAAUCACCUCCAUACUCAAGUUUGAAAAAAUAAGUUUUGAUUUUCGCAACAAUUUUAUUUAACUUUCUAAAAAUAAAACAUUCAUGGUUCGUAUGUGUGAUAAACUUUUAUAAUUAAAUAAAUUGUUUUCUACUGCCAAAUAGUGUAUUUUUUAA